GGGGCUGUAGCUCAGUUGGGAGAGCGCAUGACUGGCAGUCAUGAGGUCAGGGGUUCGACUCCCCUCAGCUCCA
Molecule: transfer RNA, 73 nt
Filed under: Candidatus Tectimicrobiota bacterium
Lineage: Bacteria; Pseudomonadati; Candidatus Tectimicrobiota
Description: Candidatus Tectomicrobia bacterium tRNA-Ala
Rfam family: tRNA
About the family: Transfer RNA (tRNA) molecules are approximately 80 nucleotides in length.
Source: RNAcentral